This 253-nucleotide ribosomal RNA is filed under the name uncultured bacterium. RNAcentral's name for it is "partial 16S ribosomal RNA". It matches the Rfam family "Bacterial small subunit ribosomal RNA", at positions 524 to 776 of the family's 1533-position model. The record is from RNAcentral.
UACAGAGGGUGCGAGCGUUGUCCGGAAUCACUGGGCGUAAAGGGCGCGUAGGUGGCGACCCAAGUCGAUGGUGAAAGCUCGCCGCUCAACGGCGAGUCGGCCACCGAUACUGGGUUGCUCGAGCACUGUAGAGGCGAAUGGAAUUCCGGGUGUAGCGGUGGAAUGCGUAGAGAUCCGGAAGAACACCGGUGGCGAAGGCGGUUAGCUGGGCAGUUGCUGACACUGAGGCGCGAAAGCGUGGGGAGCAAACAGG